Coffea arabica (coffee) is the source of this 107-nucleotide small nucleolar RNA. The record is from RefSeq and is a predicted model, not a curated record. NCBI's taxonomy places the organism in Eukaryota, Viridiplantae, Streptophyta, Magnoliopsida, Gentianales, Rubiaceae.
AGUCCAUAAUGUGGACAUUUUCGUAGCAACACUCGAAAGCUUUUCCAUGUUUCGUAUAAUGAUUCACCCUCUAGUUGAUUAAAACUAGUUAUAUCCAUUCUAAACUU